RNAcentral lists this transfer RNA (95 nucleotides) under Laccaria bicolor S238N-H82. It matches the Rfam family "tRNA". From Rfam's summary of the family: Transfer RNA (tRNA) molecules are approximately 80 nucleotides in length. The record is from Rfam by way of RNAcentral. Lineage: Eukaryota; Fungi; Basidiomycota; Agaricomycetes; Agaricales; Hydnangiaceae.
GCCGGCGUAGCGCAAUGGUAGCGCGUUGCUUUCCUAUAUGUACAAUUAUUCAUGCCAAAAGGCAAAGGUUGUGGGUUCGAUCCCCAUCGUCGGUU